This 494-nucleotide ribosomal RNA is filed under the name uncultured bacterium. Its description in RNAcentral is "partial 16S ribosomal RNA". It matches the Rfam family "Bacterial small subunit ribosomal RNA", at positions 28 to 507 of the family's 1533-position model. The record is from RNAcentral.
GACGAACGCUGGCGGCGUGCUUAACACAUGCAAGUCGAACGGUGAAGCGCCUUCCUUUUUGGUGGGUGUGGAUGAGUGGCGAACGGGUGAGUAACACGUGAGUAACCUGCCCCCUUCUUCUGGAUAACCGCAUGAAAGUGUGGCUAAUACGGGAUAUUCUGGGUCUGUCGCAUGAUGGGUCUGGGAAAGAUAUUGUUUCGGUGGGGGAUGGGCUCGCGGCCUAUCAGCUUGUUGGUGGGGUGAUGGUCUACCAAGGCGGUGACGGGUAGCCGGCCUGAGAGGGUGGACGGUCACACUGGGACUGAGACACGGCCCAGACUCCUACGUGAGGCAGCAGUGGGGAAUAUUGCACAAUGGGCGCAAGCCUGAUGCAGCGACGCCGCGUGAGGGAUGGAGGCCUUCGGGUUGUGAACCUCUUUCGCCAGUGAAGCAGGCCUGCCUCGUUUGUGGGUGGGUUGACGGUAGCUGGAUAAGAAGCGCCGGCUAACUACGUG